Desulfonatronospira thiodismutans ASO3-1 is the source of this 96-nucleotide non-coding RNA. It matches the Rfam family "Bacterial small signal recognition particle RNA". Rfam says of the family: The signal recognition particle (SRP) is a universally conserved ribonucleoprotein involved in the co-translational targeting of proteins to membranes. The record is from Rfam. NCBI's taxonomy places the organism in Bacteria, Pseudomonadati, Thermodesulfobacteriota, Desulfovibrionia, Desulfovibrionales, Desulfonatronovibrionaceae.
GGAGGGAAGCCGGGCGGCAGGGACACUGCCAAUCCCGUCAGGCCCGAAAGGGAGCAGCGGUAACAGCUGGACCUGGGUGCCCGGCUUCCCUGGCAG